CCGGUUUCAAAAUUCUCUUCAUACCGUUUCAAGCACAAAAUCCGUAUCUGAAAAUCAAAAAGUCACCAUAUUGAAACGCUGCUUCUUAUUAACAAUCUAUAAAAGCAACAGAAGAAACCGUAUUUGAUUUUUCACUCUCUCCUCUACAGUGGGUCUAUGUGGAUUAACAAUGGCUCUUGAGUUCGAUCGAGUUUCUUUACAGUAUCCACCAUUCACUUGUGUCAAAUCAGUUUUUCAGAGUAUGGCUUCCAUAUUUUGACUACAAUUCUUAUCAGAAAGCACGAUAGUAAUAAGUGACAAAGAUGCAAAAAACAUAAUAGUUGUCCUCCACUUUUGGUUAGAGGCUGAAGAUGAACUUUCUAAGUUGGACAUUAAAUUCAGCAGCGGCACAAUAUAAUCUUGAGGGAAGAAAGCCUUUUCAAGAAAUGGUUCUGUUCCGUUACUAAGAGACGCAAUGACUGUUACUCUUCUAUUGUUCCAUUACUGAAAUAGUUUGAAGUUUUGAACUUUAGAUUUGUCUCCUUUUAUGAGACUUUACAAAUCUUAGUUUUGUUGGUUAUUGGGGAUGUUUCACCGUCUCUGAAAUAAUUAAAAAAAAUUGACUUUAGAUUCUU
Molecule: long non-coding RNA, 614 nt
Organism: Nicotiana tabacum (common tobacco)
Lineage: Eukaryota; Viridiplantae; Streptophyta; Magnoliopsida; Solanales; Solanaceae
Source: RefSeq, a predicted model, not a curated record